Prunus mume (Japanese apricot) is the source of this 573-nucleotide long non-coding RNA. RefSeq lists it as uncharacterized. NCBI's taxonomy places the organism in Eukaryota, Viridiplantae, Streptophyta, Magnoliopsida, Rosales, Rosaceae. The record is from RefSeq and is a predicted model, not a curated record.
UGUAACUACUCAAGGUAAUGGCCAUCUUGUUCUGCUAGGACUGGCCCCUCUUAGCAGAAAAACUUGCAAGUGGGCUUCUUUUUGGUGAUUCACAUCACAUGUCCUCAAAGCAAGUGGUGACUGGUAAACAAGUGACAUAUAAAGUUUCAGUUUCUACAAACCAUGGAAUCCAUAUAUUUUGAUAGACUUAUAAACUACCAUGGGGUUUAUUACAUCAGAGAUUCUAUUUACACCAACAGCCCACAUGAACUGAAAUUUUGUGCAUCAUCUUCUAUGACAAAGAAAAGUGAAGUGUCAGGAAGAGAACAACCCACCUAUGCUAUGCCCCUUGUUUUCCAUUCAAAGGCAUUUUGUCACAAUCUGCAAUUCUUCCUUCCGGUUGAAUUUUGCUUUCAUUUUCUUUUCCUUUCCUGUCUAUAUCAGUGGAAAACCAGACGUACCUGCCAUUACUCUUACCAUUCAUAAUUUUCGAGUGAACAUCUGGACCAAAACUCUAUACUUUUGUUGGGUCAAAGUCUCCAUUAAACAAAGGCGUUCUUUGUUCACACUUCACAAUUUUCAAUUGGCCUCCUU